Molecule: transfer RNA, 67 nt
Filed under: Amyda cartilaginea (black-rayed soft-shelled turtle)
Lineage: Eukaryota; Metazoa; Chordata; Testudines; Trionychidae
Also listed under: 1 other name
Description: tRNA-Cys
Source: RNAcentral
AGCCUUGUAGUGAAGUUCACAUCAGAUUGCAAAUCUGGAAAAUACACUUUAAUUGGUGUCUUGGUUU